GGAAGUAAAAGUCGUAACAAGAUUUCCGUAGGUGAACCUGCGGAAGGAUCAUUCAUAAUAAGUGUUUUAUGGCACUUUUUUAAAUCCAUAUCCACCUUGUGUGCAAUGUCAGGGUUGAUUUUUCUCUCGAGAGGAUCAACCCCAAACAUCAACUAUAUCUCAACUCUUUGUCUGAAAAAUAUUAUGAAUAAAACAAUUCAAAAUACAACUUUCAACAACGGAUCUCUUGGCUCUC
Molecule: unclassified non-coding RNA, 235 nt
Filed under: plant metagenome
Description: partial contains small subunit ribosomal RNA, internal transcribed spacer 1, and 5.8S ribosomal RNA
Rfam family: Eukaryotic small subunit ribosomal RNA (bases 1-54)
Source: RNAcentral